This 497-nucleotide ribosomal RNA is filed under the name uncultured bacterium. Its description in RNAcentral is "partial 16S ribosomal RNA". It matches the Rfam family "Bacterial small subunit ribosomal RNA", at positions 28 to 507 of the family's 1533-position model. The record is from RNAcentral.
GAUGAACGCUGGCGGCGUGCCUAAUACAUGCAAGUCGAGCGAACAGACGAGGAGCUUGCUCCUCUGACGUUAGCGGCGGACGGGUGAGUAACACGUGGAUAACCUACCUAUAAGACUGGGAUAACUUCGGGAAACCGGAGCUAAUACCGGAUAAUAUAUUGAACCGCAUGGUUCAAUAGUGAAAGACGGUUUUGCUGUCACUUAUAGAUGGAUCCGCGCCGCAUUAGCUAGUUGGUAAGGUAACGGCUUACCAAGGCAACGAUGCGUAGCCGACCUGAGAGGGUGAUCGGCCACACUGGAACUGAGACACGGUCCAGACUCCUACGGGAGGCAGCAGUAGGGACUCUUCCGCAAUGGGCGAAAGCCUGACGGAGCAACGCCGCGUGAGCGAUGAAGGUCUUCGGAUCGUAAAACUCUGUUAUUAGGGAAGAACAAAUGUGUAAGUAACUAUGCACGUCUUGACGGUACCUAAUCAGAAAGCCACGGCUAACUACGUG